UGGGGAAUUUUGGACAAUGGGCGAAAGCCUGAUCCAGCAAUGCCGCGUGUGUGAAGAAGGCCUUCGGGUUGUAAAGCACUUUUGUCCGGAAAGAAAUCCUUGGCUCUAAUACAGUCGGGGGAUGACGGUACCGGAAGAAUAAGCACCGGCUAACUACGUGCCAGCAGCCGCGGUAAUACGUAGGGUGCAAGCGUUAAUCGGAAUUACUGGGCGUAAAGCGUGCGCAGGCGGUUUGCUAAGACCGAUGUGAAAUCCCCGGGCUCAACCUGGGAACUGCAUUGGUGACUGGCAGGCUAGAGUAUGGCAGAGGGGGGUAGAAUUCCACGUGUAGCAGUGAAAUGCGUAGAGAUGUGGAGGAAUACCGAUGGCGAAGGCAGCCCCCUGGGCCAAUACUGACGCUCAUGCACGAAAGCGUGGGGGAGCAAACAGGAUUAGAUACCCCUGGUAGUCCACGCCCUAAACGAUGUCAACUAGUUGUUGGGGAUUCAUUUCCUUAGUAACGUAGCUAACGCGUGAAGUUGACCGCCCGGGAGUACGGUCGCAAGAUUAAAACUCAAA
Molecule: ribosomal RNA, 558 nt
Filed under: uncultured bacterium
Lineage: Bacteria
Description: partial 16S ribosomal RNA
Rfam family: Bacterial small subunit ribosomal RNA
Source: RNAcentral